RNAcentral lists this unclassified non-coding RNA (329 nucleotides) under soil metagenome. RNAcentral describes it as "partial contains 5.8S ribosomal RNA, internal transcribed spacer 2, and large subunit ribosomal RNA". The stretch from base 1 to 120 matches the Rfam family "5.8S ribosomal RNA", at positions 35 to 154 of the family's 154-position model. The record is from RNAcentral.
GAUGAAGAACGCAGUGAAAUGCGAUAUGUAAUGUGAAUUGCAGAAUUCAGUGAAUCAUCGAAUCUUUGAACGCACAUUGCGCCCCCUGGUAUUCCGGGGGGCAUGCCUGUCCGAGCGUCAUUACAACCCUCAAGCUCAGCUUGGUGUUGGGCCCCGCCGCCCCGGCGGGCCCUAAAGUCAGUGGCGGUGCCGUCCGGCUCCGAGCGUAGUAAUUCUUCUCGCUCUGGAGGUCCGGUCGUGUGCUCGCCAGCAACCCCCAAUUUUUUUCAGGUUGACCUCGGAUCAGGUAGGGAUACCCGCUGAACUUAAGCAUAUCAAUAAGCGGAGGA